This 557-nucleotide ribosomal RNA is filed under the name uncultured bacterium. Its description in RNAcentral is "bacterial SSU rRNA". It matches the Rfam family "Bacterial small subunit ribosomal RNA", at positions 102 to 694 of the family's 1533-position model. The record is from RNAcentral.
ACGGGUGAGUAACGCGGGGGAAUCUACCCAUCUCUACGGAAUAACGCAUGGAAACGUGUGCUAAUACCGUAUACGUCCUUCGGGAGAAAGAUUUAUCGGAGAUGGAUGAGCCCGCGUUGGAUUAGCUAGUUGGUGGGGUAAAGGCCUACCAAGGCGACGAUCCAUAGCUGGUCUGAGAGGAUGAUCAGCCACACUGGGACUGAGACACGGCCCAGACUCCUACGGGAGGCAGCAGUGGGGAAUAUUGGACAAUGGGCGCAAGCCUGAUCCAGCCAUGCCGCGUGAGUGAUGAAGGCCCUAGGGUUGUAAAGCUCUUUCACCGGUGAAGAUAAUGACGGUAACCGGAGAAGAAGCCCCGGCUAACUUCGUGCCAGCAGCCGCGGUAAUACGAAGGGGGCUAGCGUUGUUCGGAUUUACUGGGCGUAAAGCGCACGUAGGCGGACUAUUAAGUCAGGGGUGAAAUCCCGGGGCUCAACCCCGGAACUGCCUUUGAUACUGGUAGUCUUGAGUUCGAGAGAGGUGAGUGGAAUUCCGAGUGUAGAGGUGAAAUUCGUAGA